Molecule: ribosomal RNA, 808 nt
Filed under: uncultured Chloroflexota bacterium
Lineage: Bacteria; Bacillati; Chloroflexota
Description: bacterial SSU rRNA
Rfam family: Bacterial small subunit ribosomal RNA
Source: RNAcentral
AGGGUUUGAUCAUGGCUCAGGAUGAACGUUGGCGGCGUGCCUAACACAUGCAAGUCGAACGAUCCUUCGGGAUAGUGGCGCACGGGUGAGGAACACGUAGCUGAUCGGCCCUUCAGUGCGGGAUAACUCCUCGAAAGAGGCGCUAAUACCGCAUAAGCUCACGGUCGCUAGGGGACAGUGAGAAAAGGUUUACUGCUGAAGGACGAGGCUGCGGCCCAUCAGCUAGAUGGUGCGGUAACGGCGUACCAUGGCGACGACGGGUAGGGGACCUGAGAGGGUGACCCCCCACACUGGGACUGAGACACGGCCCAGACUCCUACGGGAGGCAGCAGUGAGGGAUAUUGCACAAUGGGGGAAACCCUGAUGCAGCGACGCCGCGUGAGUGAAGAAGGCCUUCGGGUCGUAAAGCUCUUUUCUGCGUGACGAGCAAGGACGGUAGCGCAGGAAUAAGUCUCGGCUAACUACGUGCCAGCAGCCGCGGUAAAACGUAGGAGACAAACGUUAUCCGGAGUUACUGGGCGUAAAGGGCGUGCAGGCGGUUGCUUAAGUUCGGCGUGAAAGCUCCUGGCUAAACCGGGAGAGGUCGUCGGAAACUGGGUGACUAGAGGGUGAUAGAGGCGGGUGGAAUUCCGGGUGUAGUGGUGAAAUGCGUAGAGAUCCGGAGGAACACCAGUGGCGAAGGCGACCCGCUGGGUCACACCUGACGCUGAGACGCGACAGCAUGGGGAGCGAACGGGAUUAGAAACCCCGGUAGUCCAUGCCGUAAACGAUGCCAGCUCGAUGUCUGGGACGGGAAACCGUUCUGGGU